GACGAACGCUGGCGGCGUGCUUAACACAUGCAAGUCGAACGGUAAGGCCCUUCGGGGUACACGAGUGGCGAACGGGUGAGUAACACGUGGGUGAUCUGCCCUGCACUUCGGGAUAAGCCUGGGAAACUGGGUCUAAUACCGGAUAGGACCAUGGGAUGCAUGUCCUGGGGUGGAAAGCUUUUGCGGUGUGGGAUGGGCGCGGGGCCUAUUAGCUCGUUGGUGGGGUGAUGGCCUACCAAGGCGACGACGGGUAGCCGGCCUGAGAGGGUGACCGGCCACACUGGGACUGAGAUACGGCCCAGACUCCUACGGGAGGCAGCAGUGGGGAAUAUUGCACAAUGGGCGCAAGCCUGAUGCAGCGACGCCGCGUGAGGGAUGACGGCCUUCGGGUUGUAAACCUCUUUCAGCACCGACGAAGCGCAAGUGACGGUAGGUGCAGAAGAAGGACCGGCCAACUACGUGCCAGCCGCCGCCGUAA
This 478-nucleotide ribosomal RNA is filed under the name uncultured bacterium. Its description in RNAcentral is "partial 16S ribosomal RNA". It matches the Rfam family "Bacterial small subunit ribosomal RNA", at positions 28 to 523 of the family's 1533-position model. The record is from RNAcentral.